Molecule: long non-coding RNA, 351 nt
Filed under: Gallus gallus (chicken)
Lineage: Eukaryota; Metazoa; Chordata; Aves; Galliformes; Phasianidae
Description: lncRNA (ENSGALG00010009669.1)
Source: RNAcentral
GUACUUUUCAGAGUAGAUGGAUGUACAGAACUUUGAAAGACAGGAAGAACAGAGCAAAGCACCCACCUGCCCAGCCUCCCACCAGUAAUCCUUGCUGAUGCAACUGGGAAUAUUCCCUGAAGCGUAGAGGUGGUGUGACCAGUGACACUGGAACAAGAACCAGUGUAAUUAAAUUUUAUUGCCCCUGGAGCCCUUUUAUUCCUCUCAGCAUCUAGUUACUGUGAAAACAGAGGAACGGUUAUGGGCUGGAAGGAGUGUUUUCUAACAGAAUCACAGAAUGAUGGGUUGGAAGAAACCUCAAGAGACCAUCAAGUCCAACCUGCUGCCAAAGCAGAUACCCUACAGUUGGUC